This 56-nucleotide non-coding RNA is filed under the name unclassified sequences. RNAcentral describes it as "Whalefall-1 RNA". It matches the Rfam family "Whalefall-1 RNA". The record is from RNAcentral.
GUGUCCCUCCUUGGGGAGGGACAGAGGUAAACAUGUUUUACCUCUAGGGUGAGGAC